RNAcentral lists this ribosomal RNA (253 nucleotides) under uncultured bacterium. Its description in RNAcentral is "partial 16S ribosomal RNA". It matches the Rfam family "Bacterial small subunit ribosomal RNA", at positions 524 to 776 of the family's 1533-position model. The record is from RNAcentral.
UACGUAGGGGGCUAGCGUUGUCCGGAUUUAUUGGGCGUAAAGAGCGUGUAGGCGGCCAGAUAGGUCCGUUGUGAAAACUCGAGGCUCAACCUCGAGACGCCGAUGGAAACCAUUUGGCUAGAGUCCGGAAGAGGAGAGUGGAAUUCCUGGUGUAGCGGUGAAAUGCGCAGAUAUCAGGAAGAACACCCGUGGCGAAAGCGGCUCUCUGGGACGGUACUGACGCUGAGACGCGAAAGCGUGGGGAGCAAACAGG